This 281-nucleotide ribosomal RNA is filed under the name Clostridioides difficile. RNAcentral's name for it is "partial 23S ribosomal RNA". It matches the Rfam family "Bacterial large subunit ribosomal RNA", at positions 2598 to 2881 of the family's 2925-position model. Lineage: Bacteria; Bacillati; Bacillota; Clostridia; Peptostreptococcales; Peptostreptococcaceae. The record is from RNAcentral.
ACGCGAGCUGGGUUCAGAACGUCGUGGGACAGUUCGGUCCCUAUCCGUCGCAGGCGUAGGAAAUUUGAGAAGACCUGUCCUUAGUACGGGAGGACCGGGAUGGACGUACCUCUGGUGUACCAGUUGUCCUGCCAAGGGCAUGGCUGGGUAGCUAUGUACGGAAUGGAUAAGCGCUGAAAGCAUCUAAGCGCGAAGCCAACUUCAAGAUAAGAUUUCCCACCGCAAGGGUAAGACCCCAGAAAGACUAUCUGGUUGAUAGGUCGAAGGUGUAAGUGCAGCAA